AUGAAUCCCAUGGUGAAAUGCUGCCUGCUGCUCCUCCUCUUCUUGACGGUUCUCUUGCCUGAGGCGCGCGCGACCUCGUGCCACUCCGAUGACCUACACGCGCUGCGGGGCUUCGCCGGGAACCUUAGCAGGGGGGCCGUUCUCCUUCGCGCCGCGUGGUCCGGCGCCAUGUGCUGCGCCUGGGAUGGUGUGGGUUGUGACGCCGCCAACGGCCGCGUCACGUGGUUGCGCCUUUCUGGACAUGGCCUUGUGGGGUCCAUCCCAGGAGCCUCCCUCGCAGGCCUCGCGUGGCUGGAGGAACUCGACCUCGGCUAUAACAGCUUGCACAACAUCUCAGGAGCGCUCACCAUGCUGCGUGGGUGCCAGAACCUCACCACGUUAAUUCUCACCAAGAAUUUCGGCGGCGAGGAGCUACCAGGCGAUGGCUUUAUUGGGUUCAAGAGCCUCGUGAUGUUCGACCUUGGUGAUUGUGCUCUCAAGGGCAGGGUUCCGGGAUGGUUGUCUCAAUGCAAGAACUUGGAGGUCCUUGACUUGUCCCACAACCAAUUGGUCGGCACCAUCCCGUCGUGGAUUGGUAGGCUUGAUCACCUUUGCUACUUGGAUCUCUCCAACAAUACAUUGGUUGGUGAGGUACCCAAGAGUUCUAAGGGCCUCAACACCUCUGGGUGUUCACCAGGUAUCAGUUUCACUAACAUGUCAUUGUAUCUGAAGCAUGGCGGAAGAAGCACACUUCGCCGACAACUUAAUCAUGCCCCAAAUGUCAUAGCUGGGACCAACAACAUUGUCAAAUCUGGGAGCAACAACGUUGUGGCUGGGAACGACAACACUAUCAUAUUUGGGAAUAACAACGCCGUAUCCGGGAGCUACCAGGUCGUAUAUGGUAAUAACCAUGUCGUAACUGGGGAUAACCAUGUCGUAUCUGGGAGCAACCAUGCCGCGUCUGGGAGCCAUCAUGUCGUGAUUGGAAAGCACAAUAUUGUAUCCGGGACCCACAAUGACGUAGGUGGGAGCAAAAAUAUCGUGUCUGGUAGCAACAAUGUUGUAUCUGGGAGCCACAAUACCGUGUCCGGUAAGAACCAUUUCGUGACUGGGCACAACAAAGUCGUAACCUGA
Molecule: ribosomal RNA, 1113 nt
Filed under: Triticum aestivum (bread wheat)
Lineage: Eukaryota; Viridiplantae; Streptophyta; Magnoliopsida; Poales; Poaceae
Description: partial small subunit ribosomal RNA
Source: RNAcentral